UGGGGAAUCUUGCGCAAUGCGCGAAAGCGUGACGCAGCAACGCCGCGUGAGGGAAGACGGCUUUCGGGUUGUAAACCUCUUUCAGUUGGGACGAAGCUUCCACGGUUAAUAGCCGUGCGGAGUGACGGUACCUUUAGAAGAAGCCCCGGCUAACUACGUGCCAGCAGCCGCGGUAAUACGUAGGGGGCAAGCGUUGUCCGGAAUUAUUGGGCGUAAAGAGCGUGUAGGCGGUUCAGUAAGUCCGCUGUGAAAGCCCAGGGCUCAACCCUGGAAUGCCGGUGGAUACUGCUGGACUAGAGUCCGGAAGAGGCGAGUGGAAUUCCUGGUGUAGCGGUGAAAUGCGCAGAUAUCAGGAGGAACACCAAUAGCGAAGGCAGCUCGCUGGGACGGUACUGACGCUGAGACGCGAAAGCGUGGGGAGCAAACAGG
This 429-nucleotide ribosomal RNA is filed under the name uncultured bacterium. Its description in RNAcentral is "bacterial SSU rRNA". It matches the Rfam family "Bacterial small subunit ribosomal RNA", at positions 355 to 776 of the family's 1533-position model. The record is from RNAcentral.